RNAcentral lists this ribosomal RNA (354 nucleotides) under uncultured Methanomicrobiales archaeon. RNAcentral's name for it is "bacterial SSU rRNA". It matches the Rfam family "Archaeal small subunit ribosomal RNA", at positions 987 to 1338 of the family's 1478-position model. The record is from RNAcentral. Lineage: Archaea; Methanobacteriati; Methanobacteriota; Methanomicrobia; Methanomicrobiales.
GAGGUGCAUGGCCGUCGUCAGUUCGUACUGUGAAGCAUCCUGUUAAGUCAGGCAACGAGCGAGACCCACGCCAACAGUUGCCAGCUCGUCCUCCGGGGAUGGUGGGGACACUGUUGGGACCGCCUCUGCUAAAGAGGAGGAAGGAAUGGGCAACGGUAGGUCAGCAUGCCCCGAAUUAUCUGGGCUACACGCGGGCUACAAUGGGUGGGACAAUGGGUAUCGACACCGAAAGGUGAAGGCAAUCUCCUAAACCCAUCCGUAGUUCGGAUUGUGGGCUGCAACUCGCCCACAUGAAGCUGGAAUCUGUAGUAAUCGUGUCUCAAAAUGGCACGGUGAAUAUCGUCCCUGCUCCUU